Amphimedon queenslandica is the source of this 382-nucleotide long non-coding RNA. RefSeq lists it as uncharacterized. Lineage: Eukaryota; Metazoa; Porifera; Demospongiae; Haplosclerida; Niphatidae. The record is from RefSeq and is a predicted model, not a curated record. The transcript has 3 exons.
AUUUCAAUUUGAGAUGCUUGUUUACAUGUGUAUUUAUUGUCCUUUCGUUUUUUAAUCUCAAAACUUUAAUUUACAACAAAAAGGCAGUAAGUGCUGGUUUAUUCACAAUUUUGUCAUAAUUUCUUUUAAUUUUAUUUUCUGGUCAAAAAUUUUAUUUGCAACAUGACAGGAAAGAAAUGCUGCAUACAGAAGAGCUCUAUCAGAAGGAGAGGUGGUGAAUGUUGCUUAUUCACGUGUUCUUUUUCUGGGUACAGCAGGUGUUGGGAAGAGUAGUUUCAAGAAUUCUCUUAUGAAGUUACCAUGGGAUGCUAAGGCUAACAGUACCAUCAUAUCUGAUGUCAGCUGUGUUCGUCCCUUUGCUAAGGGAUUGCUUAGUGAUCAG